RNAcentral lists this ribosomal RNA (253 nucleotides) under uncultured bacterium. RNAcentral's name for it is "partial 16S ribosomal RNA". It matches the Rfam family "Bacterial small subunit ribosomal RNA", at positions 524 to 776 of the family's 1533-position model. The record is from RNAcentral.
UACAGAGGGUGCGAGCGUUAAUCGGAAUUACUGGGCGUAAAGCGCACGUAGGCGGCUUGGUAUGUCGGGUGUGAAAUCCCCGGGCUCAACCUGGGAACUGCAUCCGAAACUGCCUUGCUCGAGUAUGGGAGAGGGAAGUGGAAUUUCCGGUGUAGCGGUGAAAUUCGUAGAUAUCGGGAGGAACACCAGUGGCGAAGGCGGCGAUCUGGGAAGAUACUGACGCUGAGGUGCGAAAGCGUGGGGAGCAAACAGG